This 71-nucleotide transfer RNA is filed under the name Platysilurus mucosus. RNAcentral describes it as "tRNA-Thr". It matches the Rfam family "tRNA". From Rfam's summary of the family: Transfer RNA (tRNA) molecules are approximately 80 nucleotides in length. Their secondary structure includes four short double-helical elements and three loops (D, anti-codon, and T loops). The record is from RNAcentral. Lineage: Eukaryota; Metazoa; Chordata; Actinopteri; Siluriformes; Pimelodidae.
UGCCCUAGUAGCUUAGCCAUAAAGCACCGGUCUUGUAAUCCGGAGAUCGAAGGUUAAAACCCUUCCUAGUG